RNAcentral lists this long non-coding RNA (1896 nucleotides) under Callithrix jacchus (white-tufted-ear marmoset). RNAcentral describes it as "lncRNA (ENSCJAG00000084410.1)". Lineage: Eukaryota; Metazoa; Chordata; Mammalia; Primates; Cebidae. The record is from RNAcentral.
CUCCAGCCUGGGUAACAAGAGCGAAACUCCGUCUCAAAAAAAAAAAAAAGAAAGGGCUGUCACUGGCCUAGUCUGAGACACUUUGAACAACAAAAUGAAUGAAUGGACUUUAACCAUUAAUUAAAAUAGGACACCAUGAGUACAUCCGUACCUAACUCAUAAUUCCACAAAUAAUUGAAUCAAAUGAAAAUUUGAUAAGGCCUGGGAUAUUACACGGCUUCAAAGCACUUCCCUCUAAAACAUGUACUAAUCACAAUGGGAAAAGAGUAACGUUAUAGGAGAAGCCUGGCAGAGAAGCAGGCCACACGGAAAUCAUCUGCCUAAGAGGCUGCGGUGAGAACACCACAAGUCCUGCUAAAUAAGCAGAGCCCGAAUCUCAUCAGCAGGAAACACCAGAAAACCAAAGCCGGCAAAGGGACAUUCUACGAACCGGCUGGCUUGUCAGCAGAAGUGUCAAGAUCAUGAAAGUCAGCAGAGGCUGAGGAGAUCCACACAGAAGAAACCUAAAGAGAGAGGACAAGUAAAUGCAACACAUCACUCUGAAGAGGGGCCUUUUGCUACAAAGAAUAUUCUUGCGACAACUGGUGACCGCAUGGGGACGGAGGAUUAGAUGGGCUUCCACUCCAUUUCCCGCUACCCAGGACCUCAUAUCGACCACAAAGUCCAGAGCCCAGGCUGUGUGUUAUGGAAUGGCAGGGGCCUGGUGGCUGAGCCGGGAUCUGGCAGCCACACGACUGCCCUUACACGCCCUUGUUCACACGGUGCAGGCAGACCCUGUAAAGUAGGUGUGCGAAGGACUCAAUCAAACCACAGUACUGUUUGAAUGAUAUUUUUGUUAACCCCAGACUCAGCUUCCAACAAGCCCCUAGUAUAAGACAGUUUGGGCCUGGUGCGGUGGCUCACGCCUGUAAUCCCAGCACUUUGGGAGGCCGAGGCAGGUGGAUCACGAGGUCAAGAGAUCAAGACCAUCCUGGUCAACAUGGUGAAAUCCCGUCUCUACUAAAAAUACAAAAAAUUAGCUGGGCAUGGUGGCACGUGCCUGUAAUCCCAGCUACUCAGGAGGCUGAGGCAGGAGAAUUGCCUGAUCCCAGGAGGCAGAGGUUGCAGUAAGCUGAGAUCGCGCCAUUGCACUCCAGCCUGGAUAACAAGAUCGAAACUCUGUCUCAAAGAAAAAAAAAAAAAGACAGUUUGGAGUAACACAGCCGCAUGAUAAGGUAUCCCUUAGAAAUGUAUCUUCUGAAGCCUCAAAAUUGUAUUAAAAUUUUCUGGUUGCUGUUUGAAGAUGGGCUUGGUACAGUUAGUUUCUUUGGUCCUCUUUAGAAAAAAUACAAACUGCCAUAUAGCAGAACUAAACAGUAUCUCCCAUUCCAAAUGCUUUUCUUCCAAUGUGAUUUUGACACCCCUUUCAUUAACAGGUGGAGAGUGGGGGGGUGAGGGGUCUAUGUUCUCAUUCAUUAAAUCUGGAAAGGGGCUUGUGUCUAUGGAGGAGUAAUGCUAUGUAACUUCUGAGACUAGGUCAUAAAAGGUGUUGUACCUGUACUUCACUUUGUUUUUUGGGGAUGCUUGAUCUUGGAACUGAGCCGCCAUGCUGUGAGGAAGUCCAAGUAGCCACAUGUAGUUGUUGCAGGUGACAGCCCUCAAACAACAGGCAGUAUUAACUGCUAUAAAUAUGACUGAAUGAGCCUUCAGAUGAUUCCAGCCUCUAGCCAUCAAGUGACUCCUCCUCCAUAGCCAUUGAUUUCUUCCAGUUGAUUACCCCAUGUUAUUAUAUGUGCAGCAUAGACAAGUUGUCCCCAUGGUAUCCUUUUCCAAUUCCUGAUUCACAGAAUCUGUGGAAAUAAUAAAAUUGCUAUUAAUAUUGCACACUGUUUGUUUGUUCAUUUGUUUAAGUGAACA